CGAAUGUAGCAAUACAUGGCGAACUGCUCAGUAACACGUGGACAACCUGCCCUUAGGUUGGGUAUAAACCCGGGAAACUGGGUAUAAUACCCGAUAGGUCUCGAUUGCUGGAAUGCAUCGAGAUUUAAAGCUCCGGCGCCUAAGGAUGGGUCUGCGGCCUAUCAGGUAGUAGUGGGUGUAGCGUACCUACUAGCCUACGACGGGUACGGGUUGUGAGAGCAAGAGCCCGGAGAUGGAUUCUGAGACACGAAUCCAGGCCCUACGGGGUGCAGCAGGCGCGAAAACUUUACAAUGCUGGCAACAGCGAUAAGGGAACCUCGAGUGCCAGGUUACAAAUCUGGCUGUCGAGAUGCCUAAAAAGCAUUUCAUAGCAAGGGCCGGGCAAGACCGGUGCCAGCCGCCGCGGUAACACCGGCGGCUCGAGUGGUAACCGUUAUUAUUGGGUCUAAAGGGUCUGUAGCCGGCCGGAUAAGUCUCUUGAGAAAUCUGGCAGCUUAACUGUCAGGCUUUCAGGAGAUACUGUCUGACUCGAGGCCGGGAGAGGUGAGAGGUACUUCAGGGGUAGGGGUGAAAUCUUGUAAUCCUUGAAGGACCACCAGUGGCGAAGGCGUCUCACCAGAACGGACCUGACGGCAAGGGACGAAAGCUAGGGGCACGAACCGGAUUAGAUACCCGGGUAGUCCUAGCCGUAAACGAUACUCGCUAGGUGUCGGCCACGGUGCGACCGUUGUCGGUGCCGUANGGAAGCCGUGAAGCGAGCCACCUGGGAAGUACGGNCGCAAGGCUGAAACUUAA
This 795-nucleotide ribosomal RNA is filed under the name uncultured archaeon. Its description in RNAcentral is "bacterial SSU rRNA". It matches the Rfam family "Archaeal small subunit ribosomal RNA", at positions 59 to 859 of the family's 1478-position model. The record is from RNAcentral.